CGGUCAUUAGCGCAGCCUGGCUAGCGCACCUGUUUUGGGAACAGGGGGUCGUAGGUUCGAAUCCUGCAUGACCGA
RNAcentral lists this transfer RNA (75 nucleotides) under Candidatus Cloacimonadota bacterium. RNAcentral describes it as "Candidatus Cloacimonetes bacterium (wastewater metagenome) tRNA-Pro". It matches the Rfam family "tRNA". Rfam says of the family: Transfer RNA (tRNA) molecules are approximately 80 nucleotides in length. Their secondary structure includes four short double-helical elements and three loops (D, anti-codon, and T loops). Lineage: Bacteria; Pseudomonadati; Candidatus Cloacimonadota. The record is from RNAcentral.